GGUCAAGUUAUUAAGGGUGCAGGGCGGAUGCCUUGGCACUAGGAGCCGAUGAAGGACGUGAUAAGCUGCGAUAAGCUUCGGGGAGUUGCACGUAAACUUUGAUCCGAAGAUUUCCGAAUGAGGAAACUCACUUAGAGUAAUGUCUAAGUAUCAUUAAGUGAAUACAUAGCUUAAUGAGGGGAACUCAGGGAACUGAAACAUCUAAGUACCUGAAGGAAGAGAAAGAAAUUCGAUUCCGUAAGUAGCGGCGAGCGAACGCGGAUUAGCCCAAACCAAUAAAGUUUUCUUUAUUGGGGUUGCGGACAUAUCAUAACGAAGAGGUAUCGUAAUUGAAGAGGUUUGGAAAGACCCACCACAGAAGGUAAUAGUCCUGUAUGUUAAACGAGAAGACUUUAGAUAUGAUCCAAAGUACCACGGGACACGUGAAACCCUGUGGGAAGCAGGAGGGACCACCCUCCAAGGCUAAAUACUACCUAGUGACCGAUAGCGUAUAGUACCGUGAGGGAAAGGUGAAAAGAACCCCGGGAGGGGAGUGAAAUAGAACCUGAAACCCUGCACUUACAAGCUGUGGAAGCACAUUUCUUGUGUGACCGCGUACUUUUUGUAGAACGGGCCAACGAGUUACGUUAAGUAGCAAGGUUAAGCACUUAAGGUGUGGAGCCGUAGCGAAAGCGAGUUUUAACUGAGCGUUCAGUUACUUGACGUAGACCCGAAACCGGGCGACCUACCCAUGAGCAGGAUGAAGCGAAAGUAAAAUUUCGUGGAGGUCCGAACCCACGAGCG
RNAcentral lists this ribosomal RNA (783 nucleotides) under Clostridioides difficile. Its description in RNAcentral is "partial 23S ribosomal RNA". It matches the Rfam family "Bacterial large subunit ribosomal RNA", at positions 1 to 788 of the family's 2925-position model. The record is from RNAcentral. Lineage: Bacteria; Bacillati; Bacillota; Clostridia; Peptostreptococcales; Peptostreptococcaceae.